CUCCGCCACACCUAACGAGGGGCGGCCCUGCCAUCGAGGGCUGCUGCGGAGUCACCUCCAGCUACUCCAGAGACAUAAGAGUCUUGUGAAAGGCACGUAAUUACUACAGAUCACAGAAGACAUGUAGAACUGCCUGGUUUAGGUCUAUGAUAGUACAAUAAAUCAUUCAUCGUCCACUACAGUGAGGAUGAGCAAAAAUAGGGGAAACAAUUUUGAGAAAGAUUUCAAUCUGAUGAAAGAUGGGCAAGGAGCAGAAAAAGCACACAUAAGGUAG
This 274-nucleotide long non-coding RNA is filed under the name Chloebia gouldiae (Gouldian finch). Its description in RNAcentral is "Erythrura gouldiae (Gouldian finch) lncRNA (ENSEGOG00005014366.1)". Lineage: Eukaryota; Metazoa; Chordata; Aves; Passeriformes; Passeridae. The record is from RNAcentral.